GGUGGUGAACCUGCGGAGGGAUCAUUACCGAGUUUACAACUCCCAAACCCCUGUGAACAUACCAAUUGUUGCCUCGGCGGAUCAGCCCGCUCCCGGUAAAACGGGACGGCCCGCCAGAGGACCCCUAAACUCUGUUUCUAUAUGUAACUUCUGAGUAAAACCAUAAAUAAAUCAAAACUUUCAACAACGGAUCUCUUGGUUCUGGCAUCGAUGAAGAACGCAGCAAAAUGCGAUAAGUAAUGUGAAUUGCAGAAUUCAGUGAAUCAUCGAAUCUUUGAACGCACAUUGCGCCCGCCAGUAUUCUGGCGGGCAUGCCUGUUCGAGCGUCAUUUCAACCCUCAAGCCCUCGGGUUUGGUGUUGGGACUCGCGAGUUAAAUCGCGUUCCCCAAAUUGAUUGGCGGUCACGUCGAGCUUCCAUAGCGUAGUAGUAAAACCCUCGUUACUGGUAAUCGUCGCGGCCACGCCGUUAAACCCCAACUUCUGAAUGUUGACCUCG
This 497-nucleotide ribosomal RNA is filed under the name Fusarium sp. FLS-2010. Its description in RNAcentral is "eukaryotic LSU rRNA". The stretch from base 176 to 329 matches the Rfam family "5.8S ribosomal RNA". Lineage: Eukaryota; Fungi; Ascomycota; Sordariomycetes; Hypocreales; Nectriaceae. The record is from RNAcentral.